RNAcentral lists this ribosomal RNA (508 nucleotides) under uncultured Entrophospora. RNAcentral's name for it is "SSU rRNA". It matches the Rfam family "Eukaryotic small subunit ribosomal RNA", at positions 569 to 1074 of the family's 1831-position model. The record is from RNAcentral. Lineage: Eukaryota; Fungi; Glomeromycota; Glomeromycetes; Entrophosporales; Entrophosporaceae.
AGCAGCCGCGGUAAUUCCAGCUCCAAUAGCGUAUAUUAAAGUUGUUGCAGUUAAAAAGCUCGUAGUUGAAUUUCGGGAUUGACGUGAUGGUCAUGCCUUAAGGGGUAUGAACUGUUACUGUUGAUUUCUCACCUUCUGGAGAAACUUGAUGUCCUUUAUUGGGUGUCUUGCGGAUCCAGGACCUUUACCUUGAAAAAAUUAGAGUGUUUAAAGCAGGCAUUUUUGCUCGAAUACAUUAGCAUGGAAUAAUAGAAUAGGACGGCAUGGUUCUAUUUUGUUGGUUUCUAGGGUCACCGUAAUGAUUAAUAGGGAUAGUUGGGGGCAUUAGUAUUCAAUUGUCAGAGGUGAAAUUCUUGGAUUUAUUGAAGACUAACUACUGCGAAAGCAUUUGCCAAGGAUGUUUUCAUUAAUCAAGAACGAAAGUUAGGGGAUCGAAGACGAUCAGAUACCGUCGUAGUCUUAACCAUAAACUAUGCCGACUAGGAAUCAGACGAUGUUAAUUUUUAAU